This is a long non-coding RNA of Microtus ochrogaster (prairie vole), 182 nucleotides long. RefSeq lists it as uncharacterized. The record is from RefSeq and is a predicted model, not a curated record. Lineage: Eukaryota; Metazoa; Chordata; Mammalia; Rodentia; Cricetidae.
GCAGAUCAGUGUGAAGUGGGACUCAGUUUCCCAGUUGGCACUUGGCAUAAGAACCGGACUAUUGUGAGCCUUUUUGGUGAACAAGCUUAAUGCAGAACAUCAUCCUCCCUUGUGAAUGACAGAAGUGAAUUAUAGGGAAACCCAAAUGUUCUGCCACAGAAUAUCAUGACCAUGGCUUCCUU